Molecule: non-coding RNA, 204 nt
Filed under: Syntrophaceticus schinkii
Lineage: Bacteria; Bacillati; Bacillota; Clostridia; Thermoanaerobacterales; Thermoanaerobacterales Family III. Incertae Sedis
Source: RNAcentral
AAUAAUAUAACAAAACAGGGUAUUGCCUCCCGUUACGAACGGGAGGCUGAAAAGGGAAGUCCGGUGAAAAUCCGGCGCGGUCCCGCCACUGUGAUGGGGAUUUGCCUUUGACAAAAUGCCACUGUUCCAGCAAGUGUUGGGAUGGGAAGGCGUAAGGCAGAAAUGAACCAGAGCCAGGAGACCUGCCUUGUUUUGAUCUUCAAA